Molecule: ribosomal RNA, 2796 nt
Organism: Sphingomonas sp. SKA58
Lineage: Bacteria; Pseudomonadati; Pseudomonadota; Alphaproteobacteria; Sphingomonadales; Sphingomonadaceae
Rfam family: Bacterial large subunit ribosomal RNA
Source: Rfam
AAGCGUGAGGUAAGGGCAUCUGGUGAAUGCCUUGGCAUGUACAGGCGAUGAAGGACGUGGCACGCUGCGAUAAGCGUGGGGGAGCUGUGAGCAAGCUUUGAUCCCGCGAUUUCCGAAUGGGACAACCCACCUUCACCAUUUAAGACUGGUCCAGCCUUCUGGCUGGCCCCGUGUUAAAUGGGAGAGGUAUCACUAAGCUGAAUAAAAUAGGCUUUGGUGAAGCGAACCCGGAGAACUGAAACAUCUCAGUACCCGGAGGAAAAGACAUCAACCGAGAUUCCGUUAGUAGUGGCGAGCGAACGCGGACCAGGCCAGCGCCUGAUAUUUAGUUAGCAGAACGAUCUGGAAAGUUCGGCCAUAGCGGGUGACAGCCCCGUAUGUGAAAGCGAAAUAUCAGGACUUGAGUAGGGCGGAGCACGUGAAACUCUGUCUGAACAUGGGGGGACCACCCUCCAAGCCUAAAUACUCGUACAUGACCGAUAGCGAACCAGUACCGUGAGGGAAAGGUGAAAAGCACCCCGAUGAGGGGAGUGAAACAGUACCUGAAACCGGAUGCCUACAAGCAGUGGGAGGGUCCUUGAGACCUGACCGCGUACCUCUUGCAUAAUGGGUCUGUGACUUAGUGUAUCAUGCAAGCUUAAGCCGUUAGGUGUAGGCGCAGCGAAAGCGAGUCUGAAUAGGGCGCCCAUGAGUAUGAUGCAUUAGACCCGAAACCCGGCGAUCUAGGCAUGACCAGGCUGAAGGUGCGGUAACACGCACUGGAGGGCCGAACCGUUUAAUGUUGAAAAAUUAUCGGAUGAGUUGUGUUUAGGGGUGAAAGGCCAAUCAAGCCGGGAAAUAGCUGGUUCUCCGCGAAAUCUAUUGAGGUAGAGCGUCGGAUGAUUGCCGUUGGGGGUAGAGCACUGGAUGGAUGCGGGGGUCGCGAGAUCUACCAAUUCUAACCAAACUCCGAAUACCAACGAGUCUAGUCCGGCAGACAGACGGCGGGUGCUAAGGUCCGUCGUCAAAAGGGAAACAGCCCUAACCUACAGCUAAGGUCCCCAAGUCACGUCUAAGUGGGAAAGCAUGUGGGAUUUCCAAAACAACCAGGAGGUUGGCUUAGAAGCAGCCAUCCUUUAAAGAAAGCGUAACAGCUCACUGGUCUAAAUAAGAGAUCCUGCGGCGAAGAUGUAACGGGGCUCAAGACGUGCACCGAAGCUUAGGGUUCAGUCCUUUGGACUGAGCGGUAGCGGAGCGUUCCGUAGGCCGUUGAAGCGGGAGGGUAACCGACCGUGGAGGUAUCGGAAGUGCGAAUGCAGACAUGAGUAGCGAUUAAGAGGGUGAGAUGCCCUCUCGCCGAAAUUCCAAGGGUUCCUGCUUAAAGCUAAUCUGAGCAGGGUAAGCCGGCCCCUAAGACGAGCCCGAAGGGGGUAGUCGAUGGGAACCACGUUAAUAUUCGUGGGCCUGGUGGUGUGUGACGGAUGGCGUAACUUGUUCGGCCUUAUUGGAUUGGUCCGGGCAGGGAAGUUGUCCCAGGAAAUAGCCCCACCGUAUAGACCGUACCCUAAACCGACACAGGUGGAAUGGUAGAGUAUACCAAGGCGUUUGAGAGAAGUAUCCUGAAGGAACUCGGCAAAUUGCCUCCGUACCUUCGGAAGAAGGAGGCCCCACAUAAGCGCAAGCUCUUGUGGGGGGCACAGGCCAGGGGGUAGCGACUGUUUAGCAAAAACACAGGGCUCUGCUAAGUCGGCUUCAAGACGACGUAUAGGGCCUGACGCCUGCCCGGUGCCUGAAGGUUAAGAGGAGGAGUGCAAGCUCUGAUUGAGCCCAGGUAAACGGCGGCCGUAACUAUAACGGUCCUAAGGUAGCGAAAUUCCUUGUCGGGUAAGUUCCGACCUGCACGAAUGGCGUAACGACUUCCCCACUGUCUCCAGGAUAUGCUCAGCGAAAUUGAAUUCUCCGUGAAGAUGCGGAGUACCCGCGGUUAGACGGAAAGACCCCGUGCACCUUUACUGCAGCUUCAGAGUGGCAUUAGGAAAGAACUGUGUAGCAUAGGUGGGAGGCUUUGAAGCGAUGACGCCAGUUGUCGUGGAGCCAUAGGUGAAAUACCACCCUGUUGUUUUCUGAUGUCUAACCUCGCACCGUUAUCCGGUGCAGGGACCCUCUGUGGCGGGUAGUUUGACUGGGGCGGUCGCCUCCUAAAGAGUAACGGAGGCGCGCGAUGGUGGGCUCAGGACGGUUGGAAACCGUCUGUUAGAGUGCAAUGGCAUAAGCCCGCCUGACUGCGAGACUGACAAGUCGAGCAGAGACGAAAGUCGGUCAUAGUGAUCCGGUGGUCCCUCGUGGAAGGGCCAUCGCUCAACGGAUAAAAGGUACGCCGGGGAUAACAGGCUGAUGAUUCCCAAGAGCUCAUAUCGACGGAAUCGUUUGGCACCUCGAUGUCGGCUCAUCACAUCCUGGGGCUGGAGCAGGUCCCAAGGGUUUGGCUGUUCGCCAAUUAAAGUGGUACGUGAGCUGGGUUCAGAACGUCGCGAGACAGUUUGGUCCCUAUCUGCCGUGGGCGUCGAAAUUUGAGAGGAGUUGACCCUAGUACGAGAGGACCGGGUUGAACAUACCUCUGGUGUACCUGUCGUCGUGCCAACGGCGCAGCAGGGUAGCUAUGUAUGGACGGGAUAACCGCUGAAAGCAUCUAAGCGGGAAGCCUCCCUCAAGAUAAGAUUUCAUCGAGCCGUGAUAGACCAUCACGUUGAUAGGCCGGAUGUGGAAGUGCGGUAACGCAUGGAGCUAACCGGUCCUAAUUGCUCUGUUCGCGCUUAA